Molecule: long non-coding RNA, 1564 nt
Organism: Ictalurus punctatus (channel catfish)
Lineage: Eukaryota; Metazoa; Chordata; Actinopteri; Siluriformes; Ictaluridae
Exons: 8
Source: RefSeq, a predicted model, not a curated record
UCCAGUUGGUUGGUCAUGUUUGUCCGAGUUCGCCGAGGCCCAAUCCCUGGUGUCGCGAGACGACAUUUGCCGACCAGAGUAACAUGGUGAACGGGGCAUUGGUUCUCACGUUUCCCUCGCCCAUGUUUUACCGGUAAGCUUUCUACACCGAAGAAAACACCACAAAAAACAGACCAAACAAUACGGCUUUCUGAGGCGAUUGAGGGAAUGAUGUUAUGCAGUGGUUGAUCAGUGGAUAAGAUAUUGGACUACCGAUCAGAAGGUUGUGAGUUCAAAUCCCAAUGCUGCCACUGUUGGGCCCUUGAGCAAGGCCCUCAACUGCUCAGUUGUAUAAAUGAGAUAAAUAAUGGAUGCCGUGACACCCUGGCCCUUCUGUGCAGUGAGUUGUCUUUCAACGGGAGUAGCUGGGCACCCUGUGGUGGCACAACUACUCGCCUCAAUUCAGGGUGAUGGAAGACUCCACUACCGAGCCAGCCAGCUCUGCUCAUCUUCUCACAUGGACUGCGCCACAUAUCGCACAGAGAAUGAGGGCCACUAAUCGCGUCCAUGGGGAAGGUAAGCCCAUGUGACUCCUCCCCCCUCCAUAGAAAACGGGCCAGUUUGGUUGCUAGGGGGGCCUAGCUAGACUUACUCAGCACAUGGCCUCAAACUCACGAUUCCAGAGGUGGUAGUCAGCUGAAUACACCAACUGAGCUACCCAGGCCCCUGUCUUAUGUAUUUAUUUGAACUAAUAAAUAAAACAGUUUUUAUGCAACUUUACACUUUUACUCCACUAUACUUUGACAGUUACCAGGUGAUAUUUUCGUUUGUAAAUAUUGACAAUGCCCACUGGAAGUUUCUGGUUAGUAGACUAUUUUUAUUGUCUAUAUAUUAAGAAUCCCAUGUAUUUUUUAAACAUUAAUACAUUAAUGAAUAUUUGUUUCUUUACAUUGUUUUCUUGAAAUUUUCAGUACAUCAAAGCUAUCAACCACACAGUAUUUCUGAUAGAUCCUGCAAAAAGUUUCACAGAGGAAGCUGAAUCCAGCCUUGCAGCAAAAAAAAAAAAAAAUCAGUGAAUACUUAAAAAUGAGAAGAACAUGCCAUGGUAAAAUGGAUUGGGUGGACAUAAAAUGGAAAGGAGGGGUUCUGUACCAUCCAAUUCAGCAAGACGGCAGUAGCUGAGGGGUCAUUGUAGUCAUGAUUGCAAGGGCAGUGAUGAAUGCCUUUCCAGUUGAUCCAGUCAUUAGAUUUGGGACAUCCAAAAAGGAAAUGGCACUUGCAAGAAAAACAGUGGCUCUCCAGAGUGUAAAAGCAUCAGUAUUCAAUGUGGAGAACAACUGUGUAAUGUGUUCCAUGUCAAAGCCUGCAGGAUCUGGGCCUCCAAUAGCAAAUUGGAUCCAGUGUGAUACAUGUGAGAGGUGGUUCCAUGAAUAAUACCUGGGCAUGGACACCAAGGACUUUGAAAAGGCAGAGGAAGAGAGCUGGAAUUGCAACUUGUGCCCUUAAAUCCCUCUCCAUUUAAGAAUGUUUGUUAAUUUUUUAAACAAAAGAUCGAAAGGUUAAACAAUAAAGACAAUUUUUCACA